GGUACUCUUGAAGAAUAUGCCACAGUGUUGCCAUUCAAGUUGCCAUGAAGGAAGCAGUGCGCAGCGGAGAUUGUGCUGGUAGGGGCAGAGGCCCAGGAUCCAGACAAUGGUGCACAAAUUACAGUGAAGUCAGUGGACUUCGGGAGCUACUAGGCAACGGACUGUCCUAGAGCGGUGCUUCAUCUAGGUGUGACCCAAGAGUGGGUGGAUGAAGGUCGAU
Molecule: long non-coding RNA, 220 nt
Filed under: Musa acuminata (dwarf banana)
Lineage: Eukaryota; Viridiplantae; Streptophyta; Magnoliopsida; Zingiberales; Musaceae
Description: long non-coding RNA (MACU_LNC011497)
Source: RNAcentral